UACGUAGGGUGCGAGCGUUAAUCGGAAUUACUGGGCGUAAAGCGUGCGCAGGCGGUUUGUUAAGACAGGUGUGAAAUCCCCGGGCUCAACCUGGGAAUGGCGCUUGAUACUGGCAGGCUAGAGUGUGUCAGAGGGAAGUAGAAUUCCACGUGUAGCAGUGAAAUGCGUAGAGAUGUGGAGGAAUACCGAUGGCGAAGGCAGCCUCCUGGGAUAACACUGACGCUCAUGCACGAAAGCGUGGGGAGCAAACAGG
Molecule: ribosomal RNA, 253 nt
Filed under: uncultured bacterium
Lineage: Bacteria
Description: partial 16S ribosomal RNA
Rfam family: Bacterial small subunit ribosomal RNA
Source: RNAcentral